CAGGAUUUCAUACUGAGCUUUGACUGUCCCUUGCCAUUAAUCAUCAACAGCGAUGCAGAUCUUAAAAUCAGGGCCUUAAAAUUUUUUCUGUGAGUGGUUACACCACAGAUAAGUCCAGUCACACAAUAUGUUUGGAAGUGCCUGCAGUGAAUUUAUCAGGUGAUCUGGACUCUUGAGUGGUCUUGGUUGCUGUCACUGGAUCUCACUAUUCCAUGGGGCACAGCCUGGAGAACCAUCCUGUGGCUGAC
Molecule: long non-coding RNA, 248 nt
Organism: Athene cunicularia (burrowing owl)
Lineage: Eukaryota; Metazoa; Chordata; Aves; Strigiformes; Strigidae
Exons: 4
Source: RefSeq, a predicted model, not a curated record